RNAcentral lists this long non-coding RNA (579 nucleotides) under Lathyrus oleraceus (garden pea). RNAcentral's name for it is "Pisum sativum (pea) long non-coding RNA (PSAT_LNC025951)". The record is from RNAcentral. Lineage: Eukaryota; Viridiplantae; Streptophyta; Magnoliopsida; Fabales; Fabaceae.
UUUUCAAUCUCCUCCAUUCUUAAUAUAUGAAUUAUAAAUGCCUAAGAAAUUUAGAAGUGCAUGAUUGCAUUAAGCUUUAAACAAGUAUGUCUAGCAAAGAAGUGUUUUACAAUUGGGUCAGACAAAUAUCUAUAUCACCUAAUUUUUUAGGUUUAAUAAUCUUGUUCCAACUAAUCAUAUCGAUAGAUUGAUCAUCUUAUCUUGCCAAAUCAGUAUUAAUAAAUAUUAAUAUUUCAACAACGUCAAAUAACAUUGGAUGAUAUUUUCUUUAAGGAAAACUUGCUCAAAGAAUUCUACAAUCAAUCCUGACCAGGUGUGCAUGUAAGUAGGACAUGUUCAUCUUCUAAUUCAUGUUACAAGAUAUAUCUAAAAGAUUGUAUCUACAUUUUAUUUCUCUCUCCUCUCUUAUGUAUUACUUUUAACUUAAAUAUUAAGAUAUAUAUAUAUUUUAAAUAUUUAUUUUGAAAAGUGUUGAAUAUACCAAAGCCAUGGAGUGUUGAAGAGAAAUUUAUGUGUUGUAAAUUUUUUAUCACAAUGUUAUUAUCAUAUUGAUAUAGAGAACCACUGUUUUUCUUUUCU